CCGCGGGGGAACCAAUUUGUCAUACCAAUCCCUCAGAAUUCAUCGGAACCAUCGAAUCCAUAUCAAUCUGCGUCGGAUGUCAUGAAUGGAUAGGAUGGGUGGCUGCGGUGGUGGGUUGAUGAGCCGUGUAAGCGGCAUGACAAACGUCUCCCCACUUCCCUACUUUUCCAGCAUGUGCGAAACACGUGAAUAGCUCUAUUAUAAAUACGCAAUCACCGACUUUCUACCGUUCCCGGCAGAUAUCUCCAACCCCAAAGAGCAUUGAUCGUCUCAAUAUUCCGCUUCUUCCUCCGUCGUCCCACAGAGGCUUUCCCCAGACCACCGAUAGCCACCCGAUCCUCCCAUUUCCUCCCUGAGAUCCCUACCCACGCUCGCUCCCCCAGUCUCCCUGUCCGAAAUCUCCAGUCCCAAGAGCAUUGAUCGUCUCAAGAUAGCGCUUCUUCCUCCCUCGUCCGUCAGAGGCUUUCCGCAGAUCACCGAUAGCCACCUCGACUGGGGCGGGGCAACGGGGUUUCAAGAUUCCACUAAGGUGGUGGAGAGGAGCCCGAAUGAGCUGCUGGAAUUUGCUGCCAAUGUUCUCUCAUGUUCCGAUCAUGAAAGAAUGGCCACUUUGUGCUCAAGAUAAACAGAACUGCUGGUAUAUUUCUCAGAGACGUUUCCAAUCUGGGUCACACAAUUUCAGUCCUGCUGCUUGGGGAAACACAUUGCUUUCUUAAUCAGAUGGUGGAAACAGAUUUUAAACUUGAUGAUUUCGUUCUACCAUUUGGUCCGAUUGGAAUUUUACAUUUGGGUUAUUUUCACCUUGCAAUUUAUAUCUUCGAAUCUGAGUUGAAUGAGUCAUCAUGUCCGAUUGGAAUUUUACAGUAGGGGUGACAACGAGAGUGAGAAGGAAAGGCGACGGACACGAGAAGUGACGUGAGGGGGUGGAGGGGACUGGGGAGGGAGAGGUGACGGAGGAAACCCCCUCUUCCUGCUGCACCCGCACGCCCUCUUUGUCUCCCCAUGACCCACUUCCCCUCUUCAACUUCGCCUCCCUCUCCCUCUUCCCCCACUUCCCCUCUUCCAUCACCUCCCCCUUCUUUCCCACUCCACUCUGCCUCACUCUGGCUCCACCCUCUCGGCCUCUUGCCGCAUCUCCCUUCCCUGACCCCACGUCC
Molecule: long non-coding RNA, 1157 nt
Organism: Musa acuminata AAA Group (dessert banana)
Lineage: Eukaryota; Viridiplantae; Streptophyta; Magnoliopsida; Zingiberales; Musaceae
Exons: 3
Source: RefSeq, a predicted model, not a curated record